CUGUAUGGAUCAUUGUGUACUUUCCGAGAGACCAUUUAUUCGCGAUCAAAUGAGCCACGGUCCUUGUUCAUAGACCCGCCACGAUACGAUGAACCGUUUGUUACAAGCUUGCCUCAGUUCCAGCAACGCUGCGCGGGUUCCUCUGGUUUGGUUUGGGAAACAUGUCUCACCUGCGAACCGUCCCGGAUUCGUUGGAAUCCGUUCAAAUUGUGGAGUUGAUAGAUUACUUCACCUGGAAUUAUCAUCAAAAUGGAAGUCAUGUUAUUGGUUCAAUACAUAUUCGGAAGCCGAAGAUCUGUUGAGCAAAACGUGUGUACCAUGUAAUGCGAAGGACAUUUCGUCGAUGUCAGAACAAUCAGCUCAUGAGCUAAUUCCAAAGGUACCAGGAUGGGACCUCUCAAGUGAAGGUGGCACCUUGAAACUUCAUAGAUCCUGGAAAGUGAAGAGUUUCACCAAAGGGUUAGAGUUCUUUCAGCUUGUGGCGGAUGUUGCAGAGGCAGAGGGUCACCAUCCUGAUCUUCAUCUUGUUGGCUGGAAUAAUGUGAAAAUUGAGAUAUGGACACAUUCAGUUGGUAUGAUGUUGAUCUGGUGGGCUUACAGAGAAUGACUUCAUACUUGCUGCGAAGAUCAAUGCUCUUGACAUUGAACCACUUUUACGGCGAAGGGCAGCCAAACACUAGUUUAGAAAUGCAUAGCUCCGAAACAGGACAUUUUCCAGUUAAAAUAAAGAAGCCAAUCUUCUUUACUGAAGCACUUAUAGCAUACAAUAUACACAUGUGAGGUGUUAUGACAACUGUUGUAAAAUGGUUGAAAGGUAAUUUUGCCUUGCUUGUGUACCUUCUUUUUUUUUUUUUUUUUGUUGUAAAUGUGAGCAUACAAUAUAAAUCAUUUUGCCUUGCUUGUGUACAUGUGAGCAUACAAUAUAAAUCGUUUUGUUUUGCUUGUGUAACGGAUACAAGGAACCUGUAAUAUUCUAGCACAAGUGGAAGAAGAAAAUAUAUAUUUUGUGGAAGAAGAUAAUAGCGUAGAAUCCAUUUAGUGGUCCAUCCCAUAGUAAGUCUCCUAUUCAAACAUGAUUAAAAAAAAAA
This is a non-coding RNA of Amborella trichopoda, 1088 nucleotides long. The record is from RefSeq and is a predicted model, not a curated record. Lineage: Eukaryota; Viridiplantae; Streptophyta; Magnoliopsida; Amborellales; Amborellaceae.